Molecule: ribosomal RNA, 253 nt
Filed under: uncultured bacterium
Lineage: Bacteria
Description: partial 16S ribosomal RNA
Rfam family: Bacterial small subunit ribosomal RNA
Source: RNAcentral
UACAGAGGUCCCAAGCGUUGUUCGGAUUCACUGGGCGUAAAGGGUGCGUAGGUGGUGAGGUAAGUCGGAUGUGAAAUCUCCGGGCUCAACCCGGAAAUGGCAUUGGAAACUACCUUGCUAGAGGAUUUGAGGGGGGAUUGGAAUACUUGGUGUAGCAGUGAAAUGCGUAGAUAUCAAGUGGAACACCAGUGGCGAAGGCGAAUCCCUGGAAAAUACCUGACACUGAGGCACGAAAGCCAGGGGAGCAAACAGG